AAGGUUACCAACUCUUGCUGAGCCAAAAUCCGUAUACACUCAAACCCCGAUGGUUUGACACCAACUGUUGUCAAACGAACGGGGUCACUUUUUAGUUUGACACCCCUUUUAGACGGAGUUCACACACACUACCAAACGUUUGUUUUGAUAGUGUGCGUGAGCGCCGUGUAAAAAGUGACAGUUCGUCACUUUUUAGUUUGACUUUGACCAACCAACGGGGUACAAACUAAAAAAGUGUCAAACGAAAAAGUGACCAACCACCGGGGGUUGAGUGUACUUUACCGAUAUGACACCAUGGUAUAACAAAAACUGUCAAGGAAUUAUUUAGAUAAGUUUGGAAUUUGGGAAUUAAAAAUAUUUUUGUUAACGAAAUGUUAAGUUUGCUUUUACGAAUAAUAUCGCUGUUAGUGUUUUCACGAAAACAUUUCUAGAGAUCCUAUAAAUACAAGCACAACACAAGGUUUUCACAAGCCAAAAUUUGAUCUUUAAUUUAAUAAAUAUGUUUUGUAAGGAUUUUGAAAAGAACAAUCAUUGACAAUCAAGUUUGAACUGAGGAAAACCCGGAAAAUUAUGCAAGUUAUCCCUUUAAAAUCAAACUGACAGUUAAAUAAAAAUAUCUAAUUAGAGAAAGCUUUGGCCCAAUCAAAAAAGCAAUGAAAUUUUUAAAAAGUUGUUAAAAUUCCGUACAAAUCCGUAUUAUGCGAAAAAUUCCGUACAAAAAUUCCGGCCUGUUAAAAAUCCGCGGAGAAGGUCGAAAAUCCGUACGGUAAGGAAAAAAUCCGUACAGUUGGUAGCCUUAGGCAUG
Molecule: long non-coding RNA, 805 nt
Organism: Culex pipiens pallens (northern house mosquito)
Lineage: Eukaryota; Metazoa; Arthropoda; Insecta; Diptera; Culicidae
Exons: 2
Source: RefSeq, a predicted model, not a curated record